This 374-nucleotide ribosomal RNA is filed under the name uncultured organism. RNAcentral describes it as "partial 16S ribosomal RNA". It matches the Rfam family "Bacterial small subunit ribosomal RNA", at positions 527 to 896 of the family's 1533-position model. The record is from RNAcentral.
GUAGGUGGCAAGCGUCGUCCGGAAUUAUUGGGCGUAAAGCGCGCGCAGGCGGUCCUUUAAGUCUGAUGUGAAAGCCCACGGCUCAACCGUGGAGGGUCAUUGGAAACUGGGGGACUUGAGUACGGAAGAGGAAAGCGGAAUUCCAAGUGUAGCGGUGAAAUGCGUAGAGAUUUGGAGGAACACCAGUGGCGAAGGCGGCUUUCUGGUCUGUAACUGACGCUGAGGCGCGAAAGCGUGGGGAGCAAACAGGAUUAGAUACCCUGGUAGUCCACGCCGUAAACGAUGAGUGCUAAGUGUUAGGGGGUUUCCCGCCCCCCUUAGUGCUGCAGCUAACGCAUUAAGCACUCCGCCUGGGGAGUACGGCCGCAAGGCUG